UUAAAUUGAAGAGUUUGAUCAUGGCUCAGAUUGAACGCUGGCGGCAGGCCUAACACAUGCAAGUCGAACGGUAACAGGAAGUAGCUUGCUGCUUCGCUGACGAGUGGCGGACGGGUGAGUAAUGUCUGGGAAACUGCCUGAUGGAG
RNAcentral lists this ribosomal RNA (146 nucleotides) under Salmonella enterica subsp. enterica serovar Altona. RNAcentral describes it as "partial 16S ribosomal RNA". It matches the Rfam family "Bacterial small subunit ribosomal RNA", at positions 1 to 138 of the family's 1533-position model. The record is from RNAcentral. Lineage: Bacteria; Pseudomonadati; Pseudomonadota; Gammaproteobacteria; Enterobacterales; Enterobacteriaceae.